CAUAGGUUAAUGAGGCGAACCGGGGGAACUGAAACAUCUAAGUACCCCGAGGAAAAGAAAUCAACCGAGAUUCCCCCAGUAGCGGCGAGCGAACGGGGAGCAGCCCAGAGCCUGAAUCAGUGUGUGUGUUAGUGGAAGCGUCUGGAAAGGCGCGCGAUACAGGGUGACAGCCCCGUACACAAAAAUGCACAUGCUGUGAGCUCGAUGAGUAGGGCGGGACACGUGGUAUCCUGUCUGAAUAUGGGGGGACCAUCCUCCAAGGCUAAAUACUCCUGACUGACCGAUAGUGAACCAGUACCGUGAGGGAAAGGCGAAAAGAACCCCGGCGAGGGGAGUGAAAAAGAACCUGAAACCGUGUACGUACAAGCAGUGGGAGCACGCUUAGGCGUGUGACUGCGUACCUUUUGUAUAAUGGGUCAGCGACUUAUAUUCUGUAGCAAGGUUAACCGAAUAGGGGAGCCGAAGGGAAACCGAGUCUUAACUGGGCGUUAAGUUGCAGGGUAUAGACCCGAAACCCGGUGAUCUAGCCAUGGGCAGGUUGAAGGUUGGGUAACACUAACUGGAGGACCGAACCGACUAAUGUUGAAAAAUUAGCGGAUGACUUGUGGCUGGGGGUGAAAGGCCAAUCAAACCGGGAGAUAGCUGGUUCUCCCCGAAAGCUAUUUAGGUAGCGCCUCGUGAAUUCAUCUCCGGGGGUAGAGCACUGUUUCGGCAAGGGGGUCAUCCCGACUUACCAACCCGAUGCAAACUGCGAAUACCGGAGAAUGUUAUCACGGGAGACACACGGCGGGUGCUAACGUCCGUCGUGAAGAGGGAAACAACCCAGACCGCCAGCUAAGGUCCCAAAGUCAUGGUUAAGUGGGAAACGAUGUGGGAAGGCCCAGACAGCCAGGAUGUUGGCUUAGAAGCAGCCAUCAUUUAAAGAAAGCGUAAUAGCUCACUGGUCGAGUCGGCCUGCGCGGAAGAUGUAACGGGGCUAAACCAUGCACCGAAGCUGCGGCAGCGACGCUUAUGCGUUGUUGGGUAGGGGAGCGUUCUGUAAGCCUGCGAAGGUGUGCUGUGAGGCAUGCUGGAGGUAUCAGAAGUGCGAAUGCUGACAUAAGUAACGAUAAAGCGGGUGAAAAGCCCGCUCGCCGGAAGACCAAGGGUUCCUGUCCAACGUUAAUCGGGGCAGGGUGAGUCGACCCCUAAGGCGAGGCCGAAAGGCGUAGUCGAUGGGAAACAGGUUAAUAUUCCUGUACUUGGUGUUACUGCGAAGGGGGGACGGAGAAGGCUAUGUUGGCCGGGCGACGGUUGUCCCGGUUUAAGCGUGUAGGCUGGUUUUCCAGGCAAAUCCGGAAAACUAAGGCUGAGGCGUGAUGACGAGGCACUACGGUGCUGAAGCAACAAAUGCCCUGCUUCCAGGAAAAGCCUCUAAGCAUCAGGUAACAUCAAAUCGUACCCCAAACCGACACAGGUGGUCAGGUAGAGAAUACCAAGGCGCUUGAGAGAACUCGGGUGAAGGAACUAGGCAAAAUGGUGCCGUAACUUCGGGAGAAGGCACGCUGAUAUGUAGGUGAAGUCCCUCGCGGAUGGAGCUGAAAUCAGUCGAAGAUACCAGCUGGCUGCAACUGUUUAUUAAAAACACAGCACUGUGCAAACACGAAAGUGGACGUAUACGGUGUGACGCCUGCCCGGUGCCGGAAGGUUAAUUGAUGGGGUCAGCGCAAGCGAAGCUCUUGAUCGAAGCCCCGGUAAACGGCGGCCGUAACUAUAACGGUCCUAAGGUAGCGAAAUUCCUUGUCGGGUAAGUUCCGACCUGCACGAAUGGCGUAAUGAUGGCCAGGCUGUCUCCACCCGAGACUCAGUGAAAUUGAACUCGCUGUGAAGAUGCAGUGUACCCGCGGCAAGACGGAAAGACCCCGUGAACCUUUACUAUAGCUUGACACUGAACAUUGAGCCUUGAUG
RNAcentral lists this ribosomal RNA (1947 nucleotides) under Escherichia coli. RNAcentral describes it as "partial 23S ribosomal RNA". It matches the Rfam family "Bacterial large subunit ribosomal RNA", at positions 165 to 2136 of the family's 2925-position model. Lineage: Bacteria; Pseudomonadati; Pseudomonadota; Gammaproteobacteria; Enterobacterales; Enterobacteriaceae. The record is from RNAcentral.